GAAAUUGCUUUUAAAAAAUAAUUUAAAAAUAGAAGGACAUAAAUCUACAACAUGAGCUAUCUUCAAAAAAAUAAUAAGAGAUCACGUUAGAGUAGACGAUUAAAAUUACUUGUUGGAAUGUAAAAUUCAUAUCUAGAGAUGAAAGCUAGCGUGGGUUUCUUUGUGCUCAAUAAAAUAAUUAUUAUUGUCUUACAAUAAUAUUACAAUGAUAUUAAUUUACAAUCAUAUAGAUCAUGAAAUUUUUUACUCAACAUCUUCAUGUCUCUCUUUAACAUUGAACAUUCUCCUGUGAACUCUUUUCUUUAUCUUGAUCUCUGACUCUUUCAAGCCUUUCCAAAGUCCAAAUGAUGAAUUGGGACAUGUAUGUUAUUGUACAAUGCACUACAGCAAUAACACCAACGGCAUAAAUAUUACCUCUUACAAAGAUCCAAAUCUUUUCUUGCAAAAACCACUUGCUUUUGAACUUGCUCACUCGAUCUUAAGGAUGUAUGAACCUCAUUUGAUGUAGGGGGGAGUAUAUAGAUUCUUUUUACAUAAUUUUUUCAACUGAUGAAUGAACAUGGUACAUACACCACUUUAAACAAUAUUUGGAUUUUUCACCUCAUGUUUGUUAGUUGUGAACUUGUUAUAUCCAUCACUUUCAUCAUAGCUGGAAUAAGCAAACCUAAUCAAAAACUCAAAUCGAGUAUUCACAAAAUUUAAGGGAUUGAAUGAAAAUGUAAACUUAUUACUAAUAUGAUUGAAAUCAAUUUUUUAAAUUAGCGUAAAAUUAGGAAAAUUAUGGCAACUUAGAAUCAAGGCCUUUUAUCAUGAAGCAAACAAUAGUAGCAAUCUGAGAAUGCUAUUUUUCUUUCUUGCCCUUCUAUAUCAAGCACUUGAAUCCAACAAACACCAUUUUUCACAGCAACUUGAAAUCAAAUAUAGAGCAAAGUUAGUGAUUAAAGAUGUUAUUUUUGUUAGACAGUUAGGGACCAAAAUCCACGGCUAGUAGGUUAAACUGUUAAGAAAAUCUGAAAACAAAUUACAAUCAAAAUCGCAUAGAAAAAUAAUCAAUAUAUACAAUGAUAGAAUUUUCAAGAAACGAUGAAGAAUAUAGAUAGGAAAGAAUAUAGAGAAAGAGUUUUGUAAAAAUAUAUUGAAUAUGAAGCCCAUAAGUCUUCGAUGUAGGAUGAAAUAGAUGGAAAACAAAUAUCUUGUCAAUUGCAAAUGGAAUCAUGAAAUUAAAUUAAAUUUAGUGGUUUGUUUCACAUAAGGCUCUAAAAGGAUGGAUAGUCAAGAAGAUAGAGAAGGAGUGGAGAAGGGAGUACAAACAAAAAGAAGUAGUCAAGAAGAUGAACUUGAAUAGAUACAGUGGUCUAACAUUAAUAUAGUGUUAGUAAAAAGUUUAAUAGAGUGUUUAUAAUAUAUAAAAUGGAGCUUUUAUUGAUACUUGCAUGUUUGCUUUGAAAACAUGCAUGCUCGUGACCUUGAGCCAUGUGCUGUAGUUAGUAGCUCAAGCAUGGAUAAUUGGAAAUUCAAAAUGCAAAGAAUUUAAAAGGCUAUAAUGUAUUAUGGUUAACAACAUAUUUUAGUAAAUGCCACCGAAUUAAUAAGGUUUGAUUCCAAAAAAAAAUUCAAAUUCAAAUUCAAAUUCAAACAGCCAAAUACUUUGAAAUUCAAAUAGUGGAAUUUUGAAGGGAUUUUUUAGGGUUAGCACUAAGAACAAUUAAUGCAUUGGUUUUAGAGGGAAAUUUUUAGGGUUAAAUGUUUGCAAACCUAAUAACAUUAAGGAAUAAGGGAGGGAUUCCAAAGAAAUCAUCUCAAUCACAUCAAGUAUAGAACAUCACUCAACCCACAAAUAUGUACAGCAUUGGCUAGCAAAAUAUAUUUAAAAUAGAAAAGGUAAAGAAGUGGAGAAAAAAGUAUAGUAAUAACAAAAUAACCCAUAAAUAUUUGACAUAACUUGUCGUUGAUUCUGUCAUGCAUUCCUUUGAAUUAUAAUCAUAAAGUAUUCUCCAAGGAUGAAGUAAUUACCCAAUAACAUUUAAUAAUGAACAAAUUAUAGGGAUUUAAGAAUCCAAAAUACUAAGUAAAUGAUUCAAAAGGAAUCCCUGAGUCUGGGCCAUUCAACUCAACGUGAAAAUCUGUCAAAUUGUAGGCAGUAUUUUGUUUUUCCAUGGCAACAAAUGCGGACUCUUCUGACUAUAUGUUUUGUUCAGUUUGUUAUGACCACAUUAGCCAUCCAUUAUAGGGAGGAAAAAAAACAAAAGAUCGAUAAAAUCCUAACCAACAUGAAUUCAUCUUUCCAACACAGAUGGAACAUGCAGGGGCAAAAUUACUGAGAAACUUUCCUUCAUCCAUUAACUUUGCAACAAGCUACCUGCAGAUAUAUCAUUCAAAAGAUUAGCCAGAUAUUUAGUUGGAUAUGAAGGACCAAACACAAAUGUGAUUAAGACCAAAAAAAGAGACAUUCCUUGAUCGCUGACUAAUCAGAUCAUUGGAGUAUCAAGAUAUGGGAAUCAAACUUUAAAAGCACAUAAUUGUCUCGUGAAAGUAACAACUCGACUCAAAACUUUAAUGAAAAUACACAAGACUUGUAUAAUUUAACUUUUUUAAUUUUUUGGAGGAAGAAAAAACUUGCUUGACCUUGCUCUGUUAUGCUUAAAAUAUAGACUUAGAAAAUGUAGAACAUUUUCUAUCAACAUUUUUUGUAUCUAAAACUAAAGGUAGGAUAAUGUAAGUACAGGCUUAAAAAGCUUAUGCCUUUCUUUUUUUACAGUGAGCUAAACGACAGUUGAAACAUAUCAAUUUGCAGUAUUUACCUGUACAGGACACAGAACACAGCAAUGAUCUUUCAGCUGCCCUGAAGAACUCUCUGGGGAUCAAGCUGCCCACUACAGUAACUAGAUGGAACAGCUGAAAGCUCUAGUCUUCCUUUCCAUUCUUCUCCAGGUUUCAAAGUGAUAGCCUUUUCAAUAUUAGCAGCCUCUACACAAAGCAUAUGCUUAUACUCAUCAUCCCCGAAAUCAGCCAUAGCCUUUGCUUUCUUAUCCCAAGGAUUCCACACCACUGGUAAAAAAAAUAUAUAUAAAAGGUUAGACCAACAGCCACUCAAAUUUGAUAGCUUAUAAGCUACGACCUAAUUGUAAUAAAAGGUUUAUGUAAUAAUAAUCUAUCAAUUUCAUACUUCUAAGUGUAGAUUUAUGUAAUAAUAAUCUAUCAAUUUCAUAUUUCUGAUCUGAGUGCCCCAUAGGACUACUGUAUUACAACCCAAGCUCAAACAUCCCCAAUCAAGGCAUCCAAAGGUAUUCAAGUGAGACUUGGAAAAUGUCAUUACUAGCUAAAAACAGAAUUGCUGCAAGGAUAGUCACUUUCCUUGUAUUGUUACUUGGUAUAUCUUAUAACUUUGCAGGAAAAUAUUGGACUGGAAAUUAGAACAAGUACUUGUUCAGUUUUCUGUUAUGAGCUACUAAGAAAUCUGACUUUUCACUCUACCUUAUCUGUUCUUUUAUAUUUACACAUCUAUGAAGUACAGAUUGAUGAAGAUAUGUAAGAUAAUACUGACCAGCAUCAGGAAGGCCAUCUUUCCGCAAAACAAAUGUCCUCUUUUUUUCAUGAUCAAUGAUUGCAAUCUUUGUAGGAGUACUAAGAUAUAUCUUAUCAACCUAUCAUUUCAAGAAAAAGAGAAGGAUCAGCUUAUAAGCAAAAAAAAAAAAACUGAGAAACAUAUUAGCUACACACAUGUGAACAUAAUGAAGUAUUAGAAUUUAGAAAAAUCCAGGUCAGAUACAUGAACUUAACUUUUUUGUGUUAACUUUAGUUAAUGUGAAGACAUGUUUCAUUCAGAUAUAGGUUGGGUAUAACCAAUGCCCAGAUAUGAAGUGGGUGGCAUGGUAUCAAGCAGCACAUAUUGGUCUACGCCUAUUAAAUAGUAAGUAUAGAAUAAAGGGGUAAUAUUGUAAAUUAAACAUUAAAUAUAAGCAAGAAAACUCAGAGGAAAUAUAAAGCCGACGGUGAGGGAGAAUAGGAUGGAGAAGAAGCAAAUGUGAUAUUGUUUCUGAUAAUGAAAAAUAGCAACCAGGGCACACUUUUGGUAUGAAUUCAUCAAUAGCAAAAAUAAAUUUUAAGAACAAUGAAAAAAUGAAAAGCAUUUUCAGGAACUAUAUAUUCUUUCAAUAUUUUACAUAACAAGCGGUUCUCGCUAUUUUUUUUCAAAAAAAGAAGUUAAUUAAAUUUAUUUCAGUCAAAUGAACUUUCUACUAUAAAUUCAUGUCCUAUGUAUAAAACCAGCAUCUCAUAACCUGAAACUAAAUAUAAGGGAAAACCCAGACUUACUUCUGAUUCAAAAGUUAAAGCAUCUCCCUGUUCAGUAAAGCGCUCCUUGUUCUGCAAGUUGUCAAGAUAAUCCAGGGUCUCUAGUCCCUCGACCCGAACUUCACUGAACACAUGCAAAUAAACUAGUUAGGCGCGCUAUCUAAACUCGCAUUAAUACCACAACUAAUUUUUAGAAAGUAAAGCUAAAAAGAACAAGAAAUAUAUGGGGCUAGAUAAAACCAAGAAACAUAUGUAGGUAGGUACCAUAGUUUUUAACUCCACCAACUGAGUUGGGAAAUAAAACUAAACUUAAAUAUUUCACGAAGUACCGAACACAUGACUAAAUUUAACUGAAUAAAAUAACCGAAUUUGCAAGCUACAAAUUUCAUUCAACAAAUUACAGAAGCAUAUUGUUUCAACAUCAGCACACUACAAACGAUACAACUAAACCUUAUCCGACUAAGUGAGGUUUGACCAAAUGCGGACCAAUUAAAGCCCUUGAGCUAUACAAAAAAAAUAAAAAUAAAAAAUUUAAUUUUCAGUCUAGUAAAGCUAUAAACUUGCUCCUGCCCGUGCCACCAUAUUAAAUGUUCCAGCAAUAAUACUUUGAGAUCCUUUCUAUUAUAAAUUCACCUGUGGUUGCAUAUAGAACUUUUCGAUUCACAAUCUAGACAACUACAGCCAAUUGUUAAAUCUUUAGUUACAAAUUCACCAAUUAAUAGUAUAUUAAUUUGAAUUUCAAAAUUAAUGAAAUGUCAUUGGUGAAAGUAGACUAACCAUGGUUGCAAAACAAACAAAAAGCAAGUUGAUAAAUGUAACAACAAUGUACAAAUAAAAUCCAGUUAAAACUAAACAGCAAUGUUGAAGUGAGACAAACAUAUUCAAGCACUUACCUUAUGUCUGAAACCGACAAAUAAGUAUGAUAAGCAAAUGUAAACGAAAAUGGCUUCCCAUCACUGUUUGUGUUCCGAAUCCGAGACGUCAACAUCAAAUCUCCUCCGGGUCCCAAAGCUACCCUCAGACGGUACUCAAAACUACAUGCAAAAAGAAAUGUGUAUAAUAAUCAGAAAGAAACAUGAUGAGUAUACAGCAACUUUAACUAUGAAUGAAGAUAUUAAAGUGAAAGCAGGUAGUAAGAAAAAUUGUAAAAAAUUUCUGAACGUUUUCUAAAGAUACCUGUGAUUCCAGAUCUUCAUGUCUUCUUCAGAGGGUUUAAGAAUCAAAUCAACAAAGGCUUUGCUCAAAUUAUUUGUUGGAAAAGGAGGAGGGUCAUCUUCAAUGGCCCAAACCCGAUUUCUAGCAAAUCCAUGUGAUUCCAAGUUUCCAUGGUUUGCAAACUGCAAAUAGAAAGAAAAAUUCCAUCAACAUGUCAUCUGGAGUGUGAUGAUAACAAACAAACACAAGUUUUGGAACACCAUUUAGAAAUUGUAAUGUUUUUCAGAAAUAUAACAUAUAGAUUUCAUUAAUUAUAUUAAUUUCUAUUGGUUUCGUUGUUUCUUGGGAUAUCAAUAUAAUAGCAGAUAUAGUUUGAUCAAGAGACAGCAGUGAAAUCUAGAAGGAAAAUUCUUAAAAAGAAAAUUUUCAUUAUCUUGGUUUCCUCUGUUUUGUGCGUGUGAUGUGGUGGUUCCUCUGUUUCACUUCCAUGAGGACGAAGACGACUAUAUUGGAUAACUUCCUAGAUAUCUAGAAUUAUUGUUUCUAGAUUUGAUUCAUUUUGAACAUAGUUUAUUUUAUUGAGUUAUUAAUGAACUUAGUUUAAUGUUGUGAUUUAGAGGUGAUUUUCUUUAUCCAUGAUAACUUGUAUGCACAUAUGUAUAAAAUUUUACACACACACAUACACUUUUUCCCUGUUGGUAGGAUCUUACAAUUUGUGUGAUCCUCGAGUUACAAUCUUUCAACCACCUCCCAAUCUUACGUAGACUCUCGAUUAACAUUGUUGCUAACUACUCUAAGUAGAGGCUAGUUAUCUAACUUGGACCUAUGUUGACUACUUGGUCGACUAUGUGCAAGUCUAACUGUGAGUGUGUAAUAUGCCGAGUUCUCAAAAUGGCAGCGAGCUGCGCUCUUUGUAGGGUUGUGUGAUGCAACAAAAUCAAAUCAAGGCAUCAAAUUGAAACUUUUUAUUGCUCCUUACUUGAAUUUGUCUAAAAAUCAAUCAGAAACCAAACCCCAGUUGUAAUGUUUGUAAAAUUCAAGCAGCCACUAAACUAACCCUGAACCCACCCCCACCCCCACCCCUUCUUCAAUAUGACUUAUGCUAUCGAAUUUAAUUUUCUUGCAGGAAUGUAAUAAGCUAGGAUUUAUAUUUGUGGAACAUAUCAAAUUUAAAGUCAGAGCUAAAGUUUUAUGAGUUUAUGAACAAUCAACACUUUAACCUCUCAUCUCUAAGGAAAACAGAAACAGUUAAGAAUUGUCAAAAAAAUAAAUUAAAAAAGAAAUAGUAAGUACAUACUUGUGGAAAGCAGAUUGGAAUCCCUCCACGAAUAGCCUUAGGAGGCUUGAAGAUAGCCUGCACAAGGAACAAGAUAAUAAUCAAACAGACAUUGACCAUAUAUCAAUCAUCUAAUCAACAUGAAAGAUGGAGGUUAAAUUUUUCAAAACCAUAGUCACAAAAAAAAAAAAUAUAUAUAUAUAUAUAUAUAUAUAUUAUUAAAACAUUUACCCUUAAUCCGGAUUAACUGCCAUUGAAGCAAAUAUUAAUAUCAGGAAUUCAUACAUUUUACAUUGUUUUGAAAGCAAGACAGAAACCCUUUCAUUUUGAAGCCAAUUUACUUAGUUAGCUCUGUAGCACCGACACUUCUAAUGGAAUGCGUUUGACACUGAUACAUACAUUCAAUUAAUUCAUUUUUUCAAAUUUGUACUAGUGUCGAUGUUACGAUGCAUCCAUGUCUAUGUCAAUGCUUCAUUGUCGGUUAGAAGAUAAAGUUUGAUAUUAAUAUUCUUAAAAAGCAAAUCAAGAUCUCAAACUACCUAAAGAUCCUGUAAUUAUUCGAAGUCAAAUCACUUCUACAGAUCACUCACUGUAUAAACUGCCACUCACAUAGCAAAAAUGAACUUCACAAACUAAUGAGAUCUAAAUCAUAAUACUAAAUUGCUUUCUACAACUACAGUAUAAAGGUUUUAAAGCGCGUCGAUUACAUUAUCCAGUAAUAUCAAACUUCGCGGCCACAAUUUAGAACUGUGAUCUAAAAAAGAAUACAAUUAACUCUAUUUUUCCUUUUCCUUUUCGAUAGAAAAUUAUCGACAACAAACUCUUACAUUAUCCUUUUCAAUAGAAAAUUUAUCGCCAACUAAAUUAAUGCACCAAUACUAAAAUAUAAAAUCAAAGCAAACACAAUUUCGUAAAUUCCAAAUCACAAACCUUACUACUGAGAAAAAGCAAUUCCUCAGCAUGAUCAUUCUUCCACGAAGUCACAUGUCCACCGUACAGAUAAAUCUACAAAUCACAAACAAAAUGCAUCAAAAAUCAUCAUCAAACAGAAUCAACCAAAAAAACAUAAUCGAUUAUUUUCCUUAUUCUUCUUCCUCCUUCCAAAUUUCACAGUUAAAUUCCAUCAAAAUUAAAAACCAGUGCAUGAGUUAGAUCGAGAAUCUUUCCGUUAAUUAACAACUAUUAAUGAAGCAAAAUCCAAAAAAAAAAACAAGAUCUAAAUCGAAAUAAACCUAACCAGAUCGGAAUCUACAAUAAUUGAAAAGCGAUGAAAGUGAAUCAAGAUUUGAAUUACAUAGAUCAAGAGAAAACGGUUACGAUUAUACCUCAGCGGAAGCACCACGAGAUUCACGAAGAAGAACCUUAUCAAGACCAUUGAUACCUUUUGUUAACGUAAAGGAAGAAGAUGAAGAAAGCUUUUCGUUAUUCAUUGAUGAUGAUGAUGAAACUAAAACCUAAUAGUUGAAGCUCUAUAGGUAUAUUUAUAGUCGUUGUUGUGGAUUAUGAAUGAGAUUAGUGAUUGUGAUGCUAAUUAAUCAUGAUUAUAAAGUGUUUAGUGUCGUUGUUGGAAUAUUCUCACCGCCGUAUGUAUGUGUGUAUGAAUUUUGGUUUCUUGGGCACUUUCUUUGGAUCCUCUCUGUGUGUGAAAUGGGGACUGUACUUCUAACUUUUUCUUUUAACGUUUAAUGAGGAAGCUUCCGCAAAUGAAUAAUUUAAAACUAAUUUAACUUUUCCUUUUUCUUAGAUUUAUUUAUUUUGGUUAAAUAUUGUAGAAAGAAUAGUGUAUUUCAAGGGAUCGUUUGUAAAAUGCAAGCAAAUAUAUUUGGUUCAUGAUAAAAUAAAUUGUAGGUCCUUGGAUUGCUCAAAGACGCAUUGAAAUUUUCAUAUUGUUCCUUUAGUUCUUAACUCUGGAUCACUCUAUUUUAGAAAUUUACUUGUACAGCACGUAGUUUGAGGUACGUUUGGUUUGGGAGUUACGAACUGAACGUAUUGGAGUUAGGACUUGAUUUGUUCUUGCAUGAGAAUCAUAGAGCGUUUUCAAAACCAUGCAAUAACCCAAAUUUUCAACAAUAUGAUUAAUAUUCGCUUACAUUUUCAACAUGGAUGUUGAUUAACAUCCAUUAUUCAUGAUUCAAGCGUAAUCAGACUUAAAAUUCAACAACAAUAAUUCAACAUAAUUAGAGAUGUAACAAUAGAGCAGAAGUGAAGUAGCAUAAACAAAAAUGGCAACACAAUUUAAGCAAUAUAAAUAAAAUUCUGUUGAUAUUUUGUACACUUGCAAUCUAAACAAAUCCACAUGUAUGGAAUUUCAACUAUCGUUAAAAACAUUGAUUGUAUGUUCAAAUCAUUCUUAAGAAUCUUUGGAUAGUAAACUUAGUUUCAUUUGUCGCUAUUAAAAUUUAUAUGCAUGUGUGGGACUUAAACUACAAUAUGAGACACAUUAUGAUUAUCACGAGCUUCAUGAAAGAAAUGGUUAAGUUGUCGGCGGGGCUAAAUACAUUUUAAUUGUAUUCUUUAAGAUUCAAAUUAGACAUGAGUUUUGACUAGAAGCAUGUUUAAUCUCUGUUUGUGUCGGUGCACUUUGACAUAAUGUAAUUGUUAGAAGAAAACGAAAGUUUGUGUGUUAUGAAUUUUGAAAGAAGGUGAAAGAAAUGCAAAUACAUAGCAUUCAGUUUAAUUUGUACCACAUAAAUUGUCGGUUCACUUUGACAUGAACACUCCAACAACAAAAAAUAUUCAAAUCUUUCUCUCACUCCAUAUCGGGAGAGGAUUGUCACGACUGACAUAAGAGUCCAAUGUAUUUUCAUCCCUUGAUUUGCAAUGAGAGAGAAAGAGAAAGAGUGAAAAAAUUAAUUUAAGGGUGGGGAUUUCUCCACUUGAGAAACAUGAGAGAGAGAAAAAAACUAGAGACAAUUAAUUCCCCUCCAUAUCACACUCUACGAACUUAAUAAGAUCAAGUUUUCAAUCUAAGACAACUUAGAAUGAAGAAAAAUGAUUGUAGAUUUAUUUUAUAUUCGCUAUAUUUUAUUUUCCUUUAUUCACUUUUUCUAUCCAGCUUGCAAUCAAAAAAGGUGGAAUUAGAUUCAAUUUCUUUGUAAAAUUAUUAUACUCUAAAAUUUAGAUUCAAUUUUUAAACUAGAGAGACGGUGGAGGGUUAGAUUAUUUUAGUUGAAAUUAAAAUAAAAUAUUGAAGCAAUAGUGUGAAAUUCAAAUUAGAAAGAUUCGGGUACUUGAUUUAAAAUAAAAUAUAGAAUAAUGAUAAAUAUUAUCAUCUAAAAAAUUAUCAUUAUUGUCGCAAAAGAAACAUUGUGAUAACGAAUAGAUUAGACUAUAUAGACGUUUCCAAAGAGCUUAACUCAAUUGGCAGAGACAUUGCAUAAUAUAUGCAGAGGUUAGGGUUCGAACCCCGAACACCCCACUUCUCCACAUUUAAAAUGUGUGAGCUCCAGCCACUAGGCUACCUGACCAAAAAAAUAGAUUAGACUACAUAGACAAAAUGUAAGAAUGAUGCUACACUGUUCCUUCUCAACAGUAGUUCCUUCUCAACAGUAGGAUUUUGAGGUCAUAUGUCUCUCUCAAAUCACAUUUGUUUCCAAUGUCAAUAUCAUUUCAAAACCCUAAGUAACAAUCGCUCCCUUUACAUGUUAAAUUUGAAACUACUUUGAAUUUUUAAUGGUUUAGUUUCUUUUGUCCAAACAACUUUAUCAGUGUCUACAAUUCAUUCCAUCCCCCUUCAACUUUCUAUGACUUUGUAUUUAUUUUUGUUUGUCUAUAUGGCCAAUAAGGUUGCAGGCCAAAUGGGGGUGAAUAACUGUUUGAAAUUGUUUACGGAGUUUUAACGAAAGUGAUUUGAAAUGUUUUGAUACCAUUACUUUUACAUAUGUAUCCAUUAAUUUAAAGUGCUCAAAAUUUCAAUUUAUUUGUGUAUCUGUUAACAAUUUUUUAAUUAAAAAACUGAUGUUUUAUAUAGUAUGAAUAUCUCUAAACAUAUUGCAUGUCUUAACUAUCAUUAUAAAUUUUCUGUGAGAUAUCAUUACUAUACAUAUGUAUCCAUUCUUUUAAAGUACUUGCAAUGUCUGUUGAGGCAAAAAUUCCUAAUUAAUUUUAAAGAUAAUAAACUUUGAUGAUUAAGGAAUUAAUGGACUUUGAUUAUUUUCUUGGUAUUUAAAUUGUGCUCUUGAGUGUUUUACUAAGACAGGAACAAGGUUUAAUUUAUACCAAGAUUCAAGAAAUCAAAGGAUAUUUGGUUUUAUGAACUAACUCUGAGGUCAGAAAGUUAGUUCAGAAUAUUGCUCAGCGAGUUGAUUAGAAUGUUCAAAGAGAGGUCAGAAGGUUGUUCUAAUACAAGCCAGAAAUCUCAAGAACAUACAAGUCAUUUGUGACAUGAACAAAUGUCCAGAAAAGUAUAUUUGCAUCGAUCAAUCAAAGCAAUAAAUUCAUUUAUAAAGUUAAAUGUCAAAAAGGGAUAUUCAAUGUUCAUCAAGACUAUGAACAUUGAAGUGCUAGGAAUAUUCCAACGAGAAUAUCAUUAAAAACUAAUUGCUAAUAUUUGUCAUUAAAAAAUCCUUUAUUUUAAGAACACAACUUUGGUGCAUUUUCCUUACAUGCUUUUUGUAUGGUUCUUCACAUAAUUAAAAUUCAUUUUUUAUGGUUAGAACAAACAAUUUGAAAAAAUUGUGGAUUUAAUAAAUCAUAAGUAGUUGUGAGUAUUUUAUGUGAAGUACCACACGAAACACAUUUAAGAAAAUGCACCUAGAUUUUAUCCUUAUUUUGAUUCUAGCAAGAAACUUUGGUGUAUCUUUUAGGUUCUUUUCAUAUAAUUCCUAAUUAAACUACUCAUGAAAAGUAUUUUUUUUAGUUAAAAAUCAUAUGAAAAACACCUAAAGAAAUUCACAUGAGUUUUGUCCUUAUUUCAAACUAUUUAUUCGUUUCUCAGUUUUCUCUUUCAUUAAAUUUCAUUUUAAAUUAUAUUUUAUUUAGCAUAGAUUGUGUCAAAUUCAAUAGAUAAUUCAUUCAUUUUUUAAUAUUAAAUUGAUAGAGAAAAUUCUAGAUGAUUGUUUGGUUAAAUUAUUAAUUUCAAUCAAUUUCAUAUAUUUAUAAGAAAAUAAUUUUGUUUUCAUACAUGUGCUUAUUAUUUUCAUUCUAAACAUGCACUCUUGAUAAUUUACAACUCAGAUAACCAAGAUUUGUUUAAUUUUUGUUCUAACUUCUAAGUAGUUUUCUUUUUAAAUCGAUAUUUGGUCCAAUUUCAGACUAGUCUGAAGGGUCUAAUCACACCUUCCAUUUGUUGGAUCCAUUUAAAUCCAUAUAUUAGGUAGAUAUUAAUAGUUUAUUUAACAAGUAAUGGGUUAUCCUUCAAAUAAAAAAAGUAAUGGGUUAUAUUUCACCACAAAAAAUUUACUCAAAAUCACCAACAAUCAACGCAGCAAUCUCGUCAACAUCAGAGGUCAUAGUCGUUGACCAACAUUGCAUGACCACUAUACAAAAAAAAAAAUUAGAGAACCACCAAUUUUGAAUCUUGAAUAACCUUCACAGAACCGUGAACCUACCUGAAAUGAGACAAACGAUUGACCAACUCAUUCUCUGUAUCGUAUGUAUAAAGUUGACAGAAUUUUGGCGCCUGUCCGUCGGCUAGGAGAAGACUUCCAAUGCGAUGGUAAUUUUGUCCAGAAAUAACAAAAUGCGGAGAGUCAGGACCCUAGUGGGUGCGUGUCUCAAUCUUACCACCCAUAGAAGUAAAAGAAAACAAAUUAUUAUAUGAUCGAACGUUGGCAAUGAAGUGAGCACUCCUUGGAUCUACACCAUUAAAAAGACCACGAAGCAAAGGCGGAGGUUCUAUCAUAUUGGGCAAAGUGAUUUUCCCCUUCAUACAACAGAUGGAGGCAUCAAUGGUUGGAGUAGAAUGGCGUCUCUGAGAACAUUCUCCUAACCAAACCUGUGCAUUGCAUCUCCGACAAACAGAAUCCAUGUCUCCAAUAUCCAAAUAAUCUUCAAAUGAGAUACACAAUCAACAACUGGAGAUUAAACAAAUCAUCGGUAAAUUAUUAAAACGACUAUCAUGCGGAACCACAAACCUUGGACUUCACCAUGUUGAAAACACUCCAUGGAUAUCAAAGGAAUUGACUCAACAGGGACAGUUGUGGAUGCACCAACAACAUUAGAUGAUUGACAUGUGAACAAAAGAGAAAAAUCAUACAAAGUACACUGUAUUUGACAUCCAAUCUGACAUGGUGAUAUCUCCCUGUAUUUGUUCACUGAUGCUGUUAAUAAAUCUAUGUGUUUUAGUUUGUCUUUCUUUAGUUGUUAUUGCAGUUGUUCAACCUUUGUUCCAUGUUUUUUUUUUGUGAAGUAUUUUCUGUGUUUUAUACCUGAUCCAAAGUUAUUUCAAGAGAUUGAGAUGUUAUUUUCCUGUGAUAAUGUAAGAUUAUUAUUUAUUUACCCAAAACAUUAAAGUCAAUUGCAAUUUUAUCAACUUUUCUUAUUUAUUAUUGAAUUUGUAUUCUAAUAUGUUUUAGAUGAUGGUAUUUUCAUGAUUAAUUUGUUUGGUGAGGGUUUAGUUUUAUUAUUUAAAGGCUUUCACAUCUCUGAUGUGCUUUUCUGAGUUCUGCAGAUUUUGGGACAGUCCAAAUCUAGCAUUUAAUGUUCUUUCUUUUGUCUAUCUUAUUUUGUAUGUUGGUGGCUGCCUAUUAUAUGUGGCCGUAUUUUACCUUAGGUCAACAGCUCUCUAUGAAUAGGACUUUAGUUGGGUAAGUGUACUUUGUCUGGGACAAAGCAUGGAACAAGAUGUUUGUUCUAUUACCUCUGUGCUAGACAAAGUCUUCAACAACAUUGUGGUCAUGUAAAGUAGGACAAACUUCAACAUGAUAGUUGCACUUGUGAUAAACAUUGAGCUCUUUUAACACAAGAUCCAUAACAGUGAUGGUGUCAUAAAGACGCAACACCAUAUUAUAUUUAUAAGUCUAACAAAGAGUGAGAUUAUGUGCAUUCUAAAAAUCUCAACAUGAACAAUGCAGGGGAUUAUUAUGAUUUUGUAAAAACCAUUGUGCUCGUGAUUUUCGGAUAUCAAACCAUUAAUUGAUUUGAAUCGUCAAUCUUUGAACUCUCGAUUUUUAUUCGUGGGAAGGGAAAAAAUGAGUAAAAACCCUUAUCGAGACUUUGGAUUCGGGGGUUGGUUAUGCGAAGGGAAGGUGCUAGCACCCUAAGCAUCUACGGUAUUCCGUAGGAACCUCUUACCUAAUUUAUCUUGUGCUAAAUUGAUUUGCUUACUUGAAAAUUAUUACCUAAAAAUCUAAGUGAAAGAAUGGAGGGAGAAGAAGUAUGUUUUUGGUUAUUUUUAUUUGACUUGGAAGGAUAAAAAAAUCCUAUGCCUACAUACCCUUAAAGAAAAGGGAUCAAAACCAAUGUAGUUCACCUCAAAAAUUUCUUUGGUGGGUUAGGUUGAUUUUAAGAUUUUUGAAAAUGGGUUUUAAGAAAAGAAAGAGGCCUCAAGGCAUGAGAGAAAAAAUAAGGUGAGAUUGUUCACGUUUUAAUUACAAGAAAAUCAAGUCUAAUAUGAAUAUUAAUUCAAUUAAGCAUUUGAUUAAGAAAAUAAAAAGGAAAGACACUUGGGUUACAAACCAAGGUUUAUUAAGAAAAUAUUUUUGGAAUUUUGCAGAUUAUUUGCAUGUUUUUGUUGUUUUUGGAAUAUUAAAUGAAAAUUAAACUAACGGAGCAAUAAAAAAUAUAAGCGCGUGGAUUUUUGUAGUGACGUUGGAUCACCACAAAAUCCCUAAUCUAAUUUUUUGCAUUUUUGGAUAUAUCUAAAGGCGGUAAAGAAAUAAAAGGACACACACACCCACACACUUUUCUCAUUUAUAUUUACAUUGGACCUAAAUACAUUCUAAUUGCUGGAAAAUAAAUAACAAUAACUAAAAUGCUAAAUAAAAUAAAAUAAAAAUGCAAAAAUGCUAAAAAGAAAUAAAAUGCAAGAAAAUAAAAGAAAUGGACAACCGAAGGGACAAAAUUCCGAAGGGACUUUUCCGAAGGGACUUAUUCCGAAGGGACAGAAAAAGGAGGGAGAAGAAAAGAAUAGCUCGUCAACACAAGCUAAAGAGGGAGAAGAGAGAAAAGUUCUUUGACAACUCAAGAGAACUUUUGGUGUGUGCAAUUGUGUGGUAUGAGGGCUCUAUUUAUAGGUGAGGAGGUUGAUGAAAAAAGGAAAAAUGGUUUAAUGGAAAUGAUGGACAAUUAUGGUGAAUUUUGGAAAAGGAAUGUUAAAGUUGACACUUGACUUGAAAUUUUUUUAGACCUUGUACAUUUUAUUUUGGACCUAUUGACACUUUGUUUUUUUCUUUUUACACUAAUUAAUUAAAACGAAAUAAAAUAAAAAUAAAAUAAAUCUAAUACGAAAUAAAAUAAAACAAAUUAAACUAAAUCAUGUAAAGAAAAAUAAAAUUAAAAGAUGGAAAAUAAAAGUUAUUAAAUAUAAAAAAAGUAACUAAUCUUAAAAUUAAAAUUAAUAAAAGAUGGAAAGAAAAUAAAAAGAGAAAAGAGGGUCCGACUCGGAAUCAAAAAUGAGGUACUUCAAAGUAACCUCCUUGCCAAAAUUUCGUCUGAAACGACGAAAAUUCCCGACUUUAAAAAUACGAAUAAAAUGGGUAAGAAUAGAGAAAAGUGGUCAAAAUUUGGGGUAUGACAGAUGCCCCUAUUUAAGUUUCUCCGUCACGGAGAUUUAAAAAAAUGAAAAUUUUAAAUCAACGGGUCGAAGAGACUUAAAUACUAAGUACACCAAUUUUUGACCAGUUGAAAUGCUGAGAAUGCAAUGCUUAUGAAUAUACUGGUAUGAAUGUCUGCGAUGCAAGUAUGAAUGCAAGGAUGACAAAAAUACAUUGACUGGGGAAAAAACUGAUAGAUAUCACUGGGGAGGAAAUAUUAUUUUAUUACCGUUACUGCGGUAAAGACGAACAUACGAAAUGAAAUACUGUCUAUUACCUUUACUAGGGUAACGAACAACAUAGGAAAGGAAAAACCGUCAGUUACCUUUACAGGGGUAACGACCCACAUACGAAACGAAAUACCGUCAAUUACCUUUACUGGGGUAAAAACCAACAUACGAAAAGGAAAGGAAAUAUUGUCAGUUACCUCAACUCGGAUAACGACCAACAUACGGAAAGGAAAUACCGUCAGUUACCUCAACUCGGAUAACGACCAACAUUCAAAAAGGAAAUACCGUCAGUUACCUCAACUCGGAUAACGACCAACAUAAGAAAAGGAAAUACCGUCAGUUACCUCAACAUGGGUAACGACCAACAUACGAUAACAAAAGGAAAUACCGUCAGUUACCUCAACUCGGAUAACGACCCACAUACAAAAAGGAAAUAUCGUCAGUUACCUCAACUCGGAUAACGACCAACAUACCAAAAAGGAAAUACCGUCAGUUACCUCAACUCGGAUAACGACCAACAUUCAAAAAGGAAAUACCGUCAGUUACCUCAACACGGGUAACGACCAACAUACGAUAAGAAAAGGAAAUACCGUCAAUUACCUCAACACGGGUAACGACCAACUUACGAUAAGAAAAUGAAGUACCGUCAAUUACCUCAACACGGGUAACAACCAACUUACGAAAAGGAAAUACUGUCAAUUACCUCAACACGGGUAACGACCAAUAUAAGAAAAGGAAAUACCGUCAGUUACCUCAACUCGGGUAACGACCAACAUACGAUAAGAAAAGGAAAUACCGUCAAUUACCUCAACACGGGUAACGACCAAUAUAAGAAAAGGAAAUACCGUCAGUUACCCCAACUCGGGUAACGACCAACAUACGGAAAGGAAAUACCGUCAGUUACCUCAACACGGAUAACGACCAACAUAGAUAAAAUGCAACAUGCUUUCGGUAUAAGGAUAGCUCACAUAAUGUACUAGGGAGCUGAAAUAUAUUGGUACGAAGACUAUUGGAUGGGACCUGCCCCUUGAAAUAAAUUUGAUUGGUAACAUUUCUGAAUCAGUUACAUUGGGGAUGACACUUUUACGAGAUACACUGGAAUAAGACACUAGGUAAUAAUGCAACCAUGCAUGAAUGAUAUUUGUAUGCAUGCUAUCUAUGCAUGAAUGAAUGAACAGGUACGAGACACAUAUGACAGUACAACGGAAGACUGUUGAGACAAGAUUUGGACAGGUCCUAAAAGGAAAUAGCCCGGCAUUGCAGCACAAACACUCGAGAAUUUUCCACGGGGAUACCAAUACAGGAGGUGAGUCAAACACUGACGGGGUAAAGCCCUCCAUACAAAACAUUAGUGGGGUAAAGCUCCAAAUCAAACCCAUGAUGGGGGCACAACCCAAUAAUCAAACCAAUGGUAGGAAUACAACCCAAUAAUCAAACUGCUGACGGGGAUACGACCCAACAAUCACCCAACUAAUGGGGUAAAAUCCAUAUUCGCACUACUGAUGGGAUACGACCCAUAUCCAAACCAACUUACGGGGUAAAAACCCAUGUUCAAACCAACCGGUAGGGGGCACGCCUUAUAACCAUACCACUGAAGAGGUAACAAAACGUUAAUCCAACCACUAAAUGGGUAACUGCCCACUAAUCAUACCGCUAAAGGGGUAACGGCCCAUCAAUCAUACCGUCGAAGAGGUAACAAACCAUUUACUCAACCACUGAAGGGGUAACUACCCACUAAUCAAAACCAACGGCGGGACCACGCCUUAUAACCAUACCACUGAAGAGAUAACAAAACUUGAUUCAACCACUGAAUGGGCAACUACCCACUAAUCAAAACAAACGGCGGGAUCACACCUUAUAACCAUACCACUGAAGAGAUAACAAAACUUGAUUCAACCACUGAAGGGGCAACUGCCCACUAAUCAGACCGGUAAAGAGGUAACGGCCCACCAAGCAUACCGUCGAAGAGGUAACAAAGGUAACAAACCAUUUACUCAACCACUGAAGGGGUAACUGCCCACUAAUCAAAACCAACGGCGGGAUCACGCCUUAUAACAAUACCACUAAAGAGAUAACAAAACUUGAUUCAACCACUGAAGGGGUAACUGCCCACUAAUCAUACCGCUAAAGGGGUAAACGGCCCAUCAAUUAUACUGCUGAAGAGGUAACAAACUAUUAAUUCAACCACGGAAGAGGUAACAAACCAUUAAUCACACCGCUAAAGGGGUAACGACCCAUCAAUCAUACCGCUGAAGAGGUAACAAACUCCAUAAUCAGACCACUAAAGAGGUAACAUCCCAUUAGGCAGACCUUUGAUGGGAUACGACCCAAUAAACAAACCAUUGAUGGUGAAGUAAUAAUUCCUUGGAGAUAAAGCCCACUGAUCAGAAACCUGGCAGAAGUUGCCAUCAAUCAAAGCAUAGGCAAAAGUCGCCAUUUCUCGGGGUGAAACCCAUCAAUCAAUCAUUAUGGCAGAAGUCGCCAUUUAUUCAAACCACCGGCAGAAAUCACCAUCAAUCAAAGUACAGGCAGAAGUCACCAUUUAAACAAACCAGUGGCAGGAGUUGCCCUCAAUCAAAGCAUAGGCAGGAGUUGCCAACAAUCAAACCCUAGGCAGAAGUCGCCAUUUGUAAAUCAGUACAAAGUGAUUCUUCCAAUCGACCCACUUGUCAAAGCAUAGGCAGGAGUUGCCAACAAUCAAACCAUAGGCAGAAGUAGCCAUUUGUAAAUCAGUACAAAGUGAUUCUUCCAAUCGACCCACUUGAGCUGUGAUGCCUCUGUUUUUUCAUUUCAAAUUUUUUUUUUUUUAAAAUCCCUAACUUUUGCCUGGACCGCCCUUUCGGGUUUUCAAUCCACCGGGAAUAUAUUCUUUUUUUGUAUGCCCCUAAUUUUUGCCUGGACCGCCCUUUCGGGUUUUCAGUCCACCAGGACGCUCAUUUUUUGCUUAAGCGCCCUUUAGGGUUUUCGACUUAGCGAGCUCUUUUUUUUUUUUUUUUUUUUUGUAUUAUUUUUUGACAGAGGUCAUCUCACAUCUUUUGGUCAUACUUACCUUGUAGAGUUUAACUGUACUUGAAACGGAUGUUGAUGUAUGUUUCACCUACUCAUAAAUUCAAAGAAUAUAUACCUGUUGCCUAUGUUAUUCAAAAGACAUGAAAAAGUUUUAAAAGAAAUUAUGUUUCCUUUACAUAUUAACAUCAAACAUAGAAGAAAAUUUGCAAAAUAGAAUAAAUGAGAAUUUCAAAAUAAAUGGGCACAAGCUCAAAUUAAUGUAAAUGGAGUGGUGGCCUGCCAAAGGUGUGGCUCCACGGAUUUUAAAAAGAGUUUGGAAAAUGGUAAUUAUAUGGAAAAGGUACAUUGAACACAAUAACUACUGUUUCCUCUACCAACUUUGAAUUCCACCGUUCUGAGUCUUUGAUUUGCAGGCGCUUCAGAUCGGAAGUCCUUUAACAGCUAAGAUACCCCAGAUGAAUCAUAUCUGAUUUAGUGCAAUUACCUUGCAAUGAGCCGGAGGUCUUUUGACAGCUGAAAUGCCCCAAGUGAGUCAUGUCCGACCAGAUGCAGUUACUUUGUCAUGAUCCUUAACUUUUGCAUAGAUCGCCCUUGCGGGUUUCAACCUAUCAGGAUAAUCAUUUUUUUUUAUAAAUGUCUCUAACUUUUGCAUGGACCGCCCUUUCGGGUUUUCAGUCCAUCGAGACGCUCUUUUUUGCCUAAGCCGCUUUUUCAGGUUUGCGACUUAUCGAGCUUUUUCAUUUUAACAAAGUAUUUCUUGACUGCAUCGGUAUUUACAGGACAUACAAGUUUACCACCAUUCUUUGUAAUUUGGCAUCCAUUUGCCCCUAGAAUUGGGUAACAUAUUUUUAAGCACAAAGCCACUUUCUUGACAUUGACGGGGACGAGCCUUCUUUGCCGAAUACUUGCUUUAUCCUCUUGAUAUAAUUAUCCAGGGCACGCGGCAAUAACACUUUUAAGUUCAAUCAAGCUUAGCUUUCAUUGGAACUUCCGUUGAUAGGACUCUGACCUCCAUGUGGGGCACUGCUUUUAUGUUGAAUACUGAGGGAUGGCGGGGGGGCUGCCCCUGUUGAAAUGUGCAUGAAGUACAAUAUCCCUACAAGGCAGAUGGUAGCAUCUCGUGCCAAUCUUUGUACAUGAAAGUCCUCUUCUGGACAUUCUUUCUUGAUAUUUGCAGCUUCGACGGACAAGAUGCCCCAGUAGGCGAGAAAUCUCAGUGGAAGUUUCUUCAUCAUCCUCUUCUUAAGCCUCAGAUACAAAGAACUCAAGGUCGAGAGAGAGUACAUGGUUAAAGUGUUCAACGGGUUUAUUAAUGCAUGAUUUGAUUAUUGAUAUAAACAUUAUGAUUAUGCAGAUAUGUGGAAAUGAUUAAAGGGAAAGAUUUUUUUUGGUUUUUGUAUUACCAUUUUUCCAGAAAAAAGCACAAAAUAAAAACAAGGUCGGGAUCAAGACGACCUUUCAUUAAUGAUGAAAAUACAUAAAGCAAAAAGCCCUAAACAAAUUCACUCUCGCCUCGGAUGGGACGAAAGGAUUUUUUUUUUUUGGAAAACAUAAAGCAACAAACAAA
Molecule: long non-coding RNA, 20223 nt
Filed under: Medicago truncatula (barrel medic)
Lineage: Eukaryota; Viridiplantae; Streptophyta; Magnoliopsida; Fabales; Fabaceae
Description: long non-coding RNA (MTRU_LNC008287)
Source: RNAcentral